GGAUAACCGCUGAAAGCAUCUAAGCGGGAAGCCCCCUUCAAGAUCAGAUUUCCCUGGACCCUUGAGGUCCCUGAAGUGCCCUCGAAGACUACGAGGUUGAUAGGCUGGGUGUGGAAGUUCAGUAAUGGAUGAAGCUAACCAGUACUAAUUGCACGUGAGGCUUGAUCAUAUAACGCCAAAGCGUUUUG
Molecule: ribosomal RNA, 188 nt
Filed under: Woeseiaceae bacterium
Lineage: Bacteria; Pseudomonadati; Pseudomonadota; Gammaproteobacteria; Woeseiales; Woeseiaceae
Description: partial 23S ribosomal RNA
Rfam family: Bacterial large subunit ribosomal RNA (bases 1-169)
Source: RNAcentral